Non-coding RNA from Chytridium lagenaria, 92 nucleotides. NCBI's taxonomy places the organism in Eukaryota, Fungi, Chytridiomycota, Chytridiomycetes, Chytridiales, Chytridiaceae. The record is from the annotation of a GenBank genome assembly.
AGUCCCUAGGAAAGUGGUAUUCCGUCAGCCUCCGACUGAUUUCAGGAUCAGAUGAAAGCUGGAGAUCGUGGGUUCGACCCCCACGGGGACUG